This 81-nucleotide transfer RNA is filed under the name Clostridiales bacterium. Its description in RNAcentral is "tRNA-Leu". It matches the Rfam family "tRNA". Rfam says of the family: Transfer RNA (tRNA) molecules are approximately 80 nucleotides in length. Their secondary structure includes four short double-helical elements and three loops (D, anti-codon, and T loops). Further hydrogen bonds mediate the characteristic L-shaped molecular structure. tRNAs have two regions of fundamental functional importance: the anti-codon, which is responsible for specific mRNA codon recognition, and the 3' end, to which the tRNAs corresponding amino acid is attached (by aminoacyl-tRNA synthetases). tRNAs cope with the degeneracy of the genetic code in two manners: having more than one tRNA (with a specific anti-codon) for a particular amino acid; and 'wobble' base-pairing, i.e. permitting non-standard base-pairing at the 3rd anti-codon position. Lineage: Bacteria; Bacillati; Bacillota; Clostridia; Eubacteriales. The record is from RNAcentral.
GCUGAUAUGGUGGAAUGGCAGACACCAGCGACUUAAAAUCGCUUGCCGAAAGGCGUGCGGGUUCGAGUCCCGCUAUCAGCA